UACGUAGGUGGCAAGCGUUGUCCGGAAUUAUUGGGCGUAAAGCGCGCGCAGGCGGUCCUUUAAGUCUGAUGUGAAAGCCCCGGGCUUAACCUGGGAAUGGCGGUUGAAACUAGUCGACUAGAAUCUGGCAGAGGGGGGUGGAAUUCCACGUGUAGCAGUGAAAUGCGUAGAGAUGUGGAGGAACACCGAUGGCGAAGGCAGCCCCCUGGGCUGAGAUUGACGCUCAGGCACGAAAGCGUGGGGAGCAAACAGG
RNAcentral lists this ribosomal RNA (253 nucleotides) under uncultured bacterium. Its description in RNAcentral is "partial 16S ribosomal RNA". It matches the Rfam family "Bacterial small subunit ribosomal RNA", at positions 524 to 776 of the family's 1533-position model. The record is from RNAcentral.